AACGAACGCUGGCGGCAGGCUUAACACAUGCAAGUCGAACGCACCGCAAGGUGAGUGGCAGACGGGUGAGUAACACGUGGGGAUCUGCCCAAUGGUACGGAAUAGCUCCGGGAAACUGGAAUUAAUACCGUAUGUGCCCUUCGGGGGAAAGAUUUAUCGCCAUUGGAUGAACCCGCGUCGGAUUAGCUAGUUGGUGUGGUAAAGGCGCACCAAGGCGACGAUCCGUAGCUGGUCUGAGAGGAUGAUCAGCCACACUGGGACUGAGACACGGCCCAGACUCCUACGGGAGGCAGCAGUGGGGAAUAUUGGACAAUGGGCGCAAGCCUGAUCCAGCCAUGCCGCAUGAGUGAUGAAGGCCCUAGGGUUGUAAAGCUCUUUCGCCGACGAAGAUAAUGACGGUAGUCGGAGAAGAAGCCCCGGCUAACUUCGUGCCAGCAGCCGCAGUAA
Molecule: ribosomal RNA, 447 nt
Filed under: uncultured bacterium
Lineage: Bacteria
Description: partial 16S ribosomal RNA
Rfam family: Bacterial small subunit ribosomal RNA
Source: RNAcentral